Molecule: ribosomal RNA, 491 nt
Filed under: uncultured bacterium
Lineage: Bacteria
Description: partial 16S ribosomal RNA
Rfam family: Bacterial small subunit ribosomal RNA
Source: RNAcentral
GAUGAACGCUGGCUACAGGCUUAACACAUGCAAGUCGAGGGGAAACGCCGGGGAAGCUUGCUUCCCCGGGCGUCGACCGGCGCACGGGUGAGUAACGCGUAUCCAACCUGCCUCUGACUGAGGGAUAACCCGUCGAAAGUCGGCCUAAUACCUCAUGGCAUCGUCUGCGGGCAUCCAACGACGAUUAAAGAUUUCAUCGGUCAGAGAUGGGGAUGCGUCUGAUUAGCUUGUUGGCGGGGUAACGGCCCACCAAGGCGACGAUCAGUAGGGGUUCUGAGAGGAAGGUCCCCCACAUUGGAACUGAGACACGGUCCAAACUCCUACGGGAGGCAGCAGUGAGGAAUAUUGGUCAAUGGGCGAGAGCCUGAACCAGCCAAGUAGCGUGCAGGAGGACGGCCCUAUGGGUUGUAAACUGCUUUUAUGCGGGGAUAAAGUGAGGGACGUGUCCUUCAUUGCAGGUACCGCAUGAAUAAGAACCGGCUAAUUCCGUG